ACUCGUUUCAAAAAUUCAAAAACAAUUUUCAAAGAGCGAUAUUUAGUCCACCACUCCUUAGGGAUAUAACAUUUCAUAGUGCUCUCCAGCUCAGGCAAAUAUCUCGGAGUAGAGGGAACGUACUGACAGCGGCUGAAGCAUAGCUACAAUUGUGCAAAAAUGGGGACUAAACCCUUAUGGUGUCGUAAGAGUCACUCAUACCGGAUACUAAAGGAGAUAAUAACAGUCUCAACAAAAGCACUGAAAGUUGUUCUUGACAUCUGACACACCUUAAUAUACAACAGAAGUAAGGGGUGUAAUGGGGUGUAGUCAAGUUUCUGGGUAUGUAGUUACAGACGCGGGGCUACACUCAAUUCCUGCUCUUGUGUAAACGGUGCGCACCCUGGGAACGUGAGAGACCCUUUUGGCGCCUUGUGGCACCUUGUGUCAUGACUAAAAGAGAGAGCGCUUCUAUGAAACCACUCUGAAGUCUAAUUGCAAAGUUUGUCAACCAUAGCCGCAGCAGCGAGCGAGAUUGUGGGCUGGGUUUGAUAUCCGUCAUAUUGAAACCAACUCCAAUGAACAAAUUACUUAUGCCUCGGAUGAGAUGUCCCCCUUCUGCAGAUAACUACUGCAAACGCAAUAAGGACUAUGAUUUAAGGACAUGCAGUUGGAAUGCUCGAUCCCUUAGUUGACAGGGCGCCGCUGCUCAACUGGUUAAUGUUCUCGUCUAAGGAGAAGUAUGGAGACGAAGGGAGAUUCCUAAAAUUAUUUCUCUUCGGUGGAUGAACAUCUAGGCAUAAUCCGCGUAAAAGUUAAAUGUUUCAGCAUGUCGCUGGUUUGCGUCUGAUGAAGGAGAAGAACAAUGGGAUCAAAAAUACCUUUUAUGAGCGACUGAGCGCUGCUCCCAUCACGAUAUGGAAAUUGUGCUUGGCGACUUUGCUGCCAGGGUGAGAAAUGAAGGUAUCUUCGGCACAGCGGUCGAAAAAAUCUGACAGCAAGAGAUAAUUUUCAAAAUAGAUUGAGGCUGGUUGACUUCGCCGGCGACCGUAAUAUGGUUGUAUGCAGUGCAAAAUUCCAGAGCAAACAAUCUCAUCAAGUUACUUAACUGUCUCCAGAUCGAAAAACUCACAAUCAGAUCAAUAAUGGAAUAGUCGGACAUGUAUCCAGUGUUCUUGAUGUGCCUCCGAGAUAUAUGGCGACGUUGACAUACUUCAGCGGGGUCCAGUUCAGGGAAAAUUGGAUUGUUGCUUUUUUAGUUCGCCUACUGUGUCGUAUUGAGUACCGUGUGUUCGUGGUGCUCGUCACGAAAAUGAAAAACGAAGUCAAAAUCAACUAUCCGUAAAUCAAGUCUACUAUCACCAAGUAUUCGAAAUAUUCCGAAAACGUGUCAACAGGGUGCGCCCACACAUCGCUCGUA
Molecule: long non-coding RNA, 1399 nt
Organism: Ceratitis capitata (Mediterranean fruit fly)
Lineage: Eukaryota; Metazoa; Arthropoda; Insecta; Diptera; Tephritidae
Exons: 3
Source: RefSeq, a predicted model, not a curated record